RNAcentral lists this long non-coding RNA (4359 nucleotides) under Homo sapiens (human). RNAcentral's name for it is "HSALNT0171146". The record is from RNAcentral. Lineage: Eukaryota; Metazoa; Chordata; Mammalia; Primates; Hominidae.
GUUUUGCUUUCGGCAUGACUGGCAUAAACAGGCAUUUUCUCUUUGGUUUCAGGCCGGCUGAGGCCUGGGCUGGCUGGGGCUGGGAGCCGGGGGACAGGCUGGAGACUACACUCUGAGCCUGGGGCUGCAGCCCCGGCCUGGGCCAGAGGGGAGUGGGCAGGGCCAGGGGCCCAGCUGAGAAGGUGGAGACCAGGCUUGAGGGGUGGGGCUGUCAGCCUGUGGGUGCCAGCCCUGGCCUGGCCGCACCUGUGUGGGAGCUGGGAAGAGCGGGGACCCUGGGGGCCAGACCCAGAGGGACAGGUUCCUCCAGGAUGAGGCCUGCUGAGCGGGCCGGUGGGCAACCUCAGCAAGGAUGCCUGGCAGCUGGGUCUCCCCGGCAAGCUAACCCGGGGGGCAGGGGGCAAGCUAACCUGGGGGGCAGGGGGCAGGGGCCAAGCUAACCCAGGGGCAGGGGCCAAGCUAACCCGGGGGGCAGGGGCCAAGCUAACCCAGGGGCAGGGGCCAAUCUAACCCGGGGGGCAGGGGACAAGCUAACCCGGGGGGCAGGGGACAAGCUAACCCAGGGGCAGGGGGCAAGCUAACCCAGGGGUAGGGGGCAAGGGGGAAGCUAACACAGGGGCAGGGGACAAGCUAACCCGGGGAGCAGGGAGUUAGCCAUUGGUGGGGUGCCAGAGUCCCUCGAGGCACCCUCCAGGGCCUUCUGUCUGACCCCUCUGGUCUGGGAGCCCCAGACAGAGCCCCAGGGAUCCUGGAGAGGACUUGCCAGCAGGCGUCUUGGGACCAUGGUUAGCAGUGUCUCUGGCGGAUGGUGGGGGGCUCAAUGCCAGAACAAACAGGAAGGGAGACCAGGGAGGCCAGACUCCUGGGGGUCAGGAUGGCACAGUACAGCAGAGGGCGUGCGUGAGUUACCAGGACAAGGGUGAUACCAGAGGGCCUGGGCAAGAGGGCAGCAGGUGCAGCCUGGGACUGGGAGUGGAGGGGUGGGUGGGAGGACCAGGGAUGGGGCCAGGUGCUGGAAAGCCUGGCCAGGGCCUGGAUUUGCCAGUGGCCCACGGGAUUCACGGAGGGCUCUAAGUGGAGAGAGGCAGACUCUGGCCCCACUGCUCUGGUCCCAUAUGGAGCAUGGCCAGAGGGGCUGGCUCUACAGGAGGCUGGACAGCAGCAGGGGCCAGGGCCUGGUGGAGUCCGUGGAUCUCCUCAACUAACUCAAUGUGAGGUGUGGUGGAGGGCAGUGGUGGACCGGCAGACGCAUGCUGGGUGAGGGGUCUGCAGGACAUCCUGGAGGAGUGAAGCUGGCCACAGCAGGUGCCAUUGGAAGUGUGUCCUCUUCAUUCUCAGAGCGUUUGUGGGACAGGUCCACACGGGCUGCCAUUGUGCAGAGGAAUUCCAAGGCAGACUCCAUGCCGAGGGUGCAACCACGCCAAGAUGACCUGGGCAAAGGUCUGCAGGGGAAGGGGUCUAGGCAGGGGCAACCCAACCUGGGACCACUGUGGCUGGGCAGGUGUCAUAGCGGUGGUGGUGAUGGGUAGUGUGGGUCAGGUGGCCUCAUGGGUCAUCAUGAGGGUGUUGCUUGUCACCAAGGAAAUAAGGUACCACUGCUGGACUAUGAACCGAGCUGUGCCACGAGGCCACGUGGGUGCUGCGUGGAGGUUGGGUUAGGGUUAGGGUUAGGUUAGGCUGGAGUGCAGUGUCUGUUCACAGGUGCCAUCGCAGCUCACUAUAACCUUGGACUCCUGGGCUCAAGUGAUCCUCCUGGCUCAGCCUCCUGGGUAGCUGGGAUUACAGGUUCGAGUCACUGCACAUGACGGGACAGACCUUUCUGAGGGCCACAAUUCACCCCAUGGCCUCAGGGUCCCAUGGUGUCUGUUGAACAAACGGCAUGGCCUAUGCAGCCCAGGCCAUCUGCCCCCCAUUACAGCUCUGACCUCAGCCCCCUACACAGGCCCUCCACCUCUUCCUGCUGCAGCUCCCACCAACCCAAACCCCCGACUUCCUGCUGUGGCUCAAACACUCCCAGACCACUCAUGUUUUAUCCCUGUGAGGAAGAACGCUCUUUCUGGAUGCUUCAUACUCCUUCCUCAGCUCCUUCCAGUCUCUGCCCCCACGCCAACUUCUCCAUGAGGCCUCAGCUCCGUCCAGUCUCUGCCCCCACGCCAACUUCUCCAUGAGGCCUGUCUUGCUUAAAAGAGCACCGAACACCUUUCGCUUUCUUCCCUCCAUGACGCUGAGCUUAUCUCUUGGCUGAAAGUCCAGCAUGUGGGUAGUGCCUGUCCAUGUGUUUGUAUACGUGGAUGAGUGGGUGGGUGGAUGGAGGAGUGAGUGGAUGGAUGGAUGAGUGGGUGAGUGAGAGUCAAGUGGGUAGAUGGACAGAUGAGUAGACAGAUGACUGGGGGUGGAUGGAGGGCGAGUGGAUAGAUGGAUGAGUGGGUGAGUGGGUAGAUGGAUAGAUGAAUAGAUGAAUAGAUAGAUGACUGGGUGGGUGGAUGGAGGGUGAGUGGAUGGAUGGAUGAGUGGGUGAGUGGGUAAGUGGGUAGAUGGACAGAUGAGUAGACAGAUGACUGGGGGGUGGAUGGAGGGCGAGUGGAUGGAUGGAUGAGUGGGUGAGUGAGAGUUAAGUGGGUAGAUGGACAGAUGAGUAGACAGAUGACUGGGGGGUGGAUGGAGGGCGAGUGGAUGGAUGGAUGAGUGGGUGAGCGGGUAAGUGGGUGAGUGGGUAGAUGGAUAGAUGGAUAGAUAGAUGAGUGGGUGGAUGGAUGGAGGGUGAGUGGAUGGAUGGAUGAGUGGGUGAGUGGGUGAGUGGGUAGAUGGAUAGAUGAAUAGAUGAAUAGAUAGAUGACUGGGUGGGUGGAUGGAGGGUGAGUGGAUGGAUGGAUGAGUGGGUGAGCGGGUAAGUGGGUGAAUGGGUAGAUGGAUAGAUGGAUAGAUGACUGGGUGGGUGGAUGGAGGGUGAGUGGUUGGAUGGAUGAGUGGGCGAGUGAGAGGUAAGUGGGUGAGUGGAUAGAUGGAUAGAUGAAUAGAUAGAUGACUGGGUGGGUGGAUGGAGGGUGAGUGGAUGGAUGGAUGAGUGGGUGAGUGGGUAAGUGGGUGAGUGGGUAGAUGGAUAGAUGAAUAGAUAGAUGAGUGGGUGGGUGGAUGGAGGGUGAGUGGAUGGAUGGAUGAGUGGGCGAGUGAGAGGUAAGUGGGUGAGUGGGUGGAUGGACAGAUGAAUAGAUAGAUGACUGGGUGAGUGGAUGGAGGGUGAGUGGAUGGAUGGAUGAGUGGGUGAGUGAGAGUUAAGUGGGUGGAUGGACAGGUGAGUAGAUAGAUGAGUGGGUGGGUGGAUGGAGGGUGCGUGGAUGGAUGGAUGAGUGGGUGAGUGAGUGGGUAAGUGGGUGAAUGGGUAGAUGGAUAGAUGACUGGGUGGGUGGAUGGGAGGGUGAGUGGAUGGAUGGAUGAGUGGGUGAGUUUGUGGGUAAGUGGGUGAGUGGGUGGAUGAUGAGUGGGCGAGUGGGUAGAUGGAUAGAUGAGUGGAUGGGUAGAUGGGAGGGUGAGUGGAUGGAUGGAUGAGUGCGUGAGUGAGUGGAUAAGUGGGUGAGUGGGUGGGUGGGAUGGAUGAAUAGGUGGAUGGAUGGGUGAGUGGAUGGGUGGGUGGGUGGACUGUUGGGUGGACGAAUAGAUGGGUGGAUGGAUGAGUGGGUGAGACUGGGUAAGUGGGUGAGUGGGUAGAUGGGAUGGAUGAAUAGAUGGAUGAAUGGGUGGAUGGGUGGAGGGGUAAGUAAAUGGAUGAAUGAGUGGGUGAGUGAGUAGUAGGUGGGGUGUUUGUGGAUGGGAUGGAUGAAUAGGUGGAUGGGUGGGUGAGUGGAUGGUUGGGUGGGUGGAUGAAUAGAUGGGUGAAUGGGUGCGUGGGUGAGUGAGUGGGUGAGUGGGUGGAAGAAUAGAUGGAUGAGUGGGUGGGUGGAUGGAGGGGUGAGUAAAUGGAUGGAUGAGUGGGUGAGUGAGUGGUAAGUGGGUGGAUGGGAUGGAUAAAUAGGUGAAUGGGUGGAUGGUGAGUGGAUGGUUUGGUGGGCAGAUGGACCAGUGGAUGGAUGAGUUGGUGAAUGAGUGGGUAAGUGGAUGGGUGGAGGGAUGGGUGGAUGGAUGGGUGGAGGGAUGGGUGGUUGGAUGGUUGGAUGGAUGGGUGGAGGGAUGGGUGGAUGGAUGGGUGGAGGGAUGGGUGGAUGGAUGGGUGGCUGGAUGGGUAGGGGAUGGGUGGAGGGAUGAGUGGAUGGAUGAGUGGAGGGAUGGGUGGAGGGAUGGUUGGAUGGAUGGGUGGAUGGAUGGGUGGAGGGAUGGGUGGAGGGAUGAGUGGAUGGAUGAGUGGAGGGAUGGGUGGAGGGAUGG